AUACUUACCUGGCAGGGUUGAUACUAUGGUCAUGAAGGUGGUUUUCUCAGGGUGAGGCUUCUCCAUUGUACUUUAGAUAUCUUGACUCCUGCAAUUUCCCCAAAUGUGGGAAACUUGACUGCAUGAUUUGUGGUAGUGAAGAAUUAGGUCCAUGCUCUUCU
Molecule: small nuclear RNA, 161 nt
Organism: Cricetulus griseus (Chinese hamster)
Lineage: Eukaryota; Metazoa; Chordata; Mammalia; Rodentia; Cricetidae
Gene: U1
Rfam family: U1 spliceosomal RNA
About the family: U1 is a small nuclear RNA (snRNA) component of the spliceosome (involved in pre-mRNA splicing). Its 5' end forms complementary base pairs with the 5' splice junction, thus defining the 5' donor site of an intron. There are significant differences in sequence and secondary structure between metazoan and yeast U1 snRNAs, the latter being much longer (568 nucleotides as compared to 164 nucleotides in human).
Source: Ensembl